Molecule: ribosomal RNA, 465 nt
Filed under: uncultured bacterium
Lineage: Bacteria
Description: partial 16S ribosomal RNA
Rfam family: Bacterial small subunit ribosomal RNA
Source: RNAcentral
GACGAACGCUGGCGGCGUGCUUAACACAUGCAAGUCGAGCGGUAAGGCCCCUUCGGGGGUACACGAGCGGCGAACGGGUGAGUAACACGUUAGCAAUCUGCCCAUCACCUCCGGAUAACUCCGGGAAACCGAAGCUAAUACCGAAUACGACCACCCCCGGCAUCGGAUGGUGGUGGAAAGUUCCGGCGGUGAUGGAUGAGCUCGCGGCCUAUCCGCUUGUUGGUGGGGUAACGGCCCACCAAGGCUUCGACGGGUAGCCGGCCUGAGAGGGUGACCGGCCACACUGGGACUGAGACACGGCCCAGACUCCUACGGGAGGCAGCAGUGGGGAAUAUUGGACAAUGGGCGAAAGCCUGAUCCAGCAACGCCGCGUGAGGGAUGACGGCCUUCGGGUUGUAAACCUCUUUCAGCAGGGACGAAGCGCAAGUGACGGUACCUGCAGAAGAAGCACCGGCCAACUACGUG